AAGAUUAAUACUAUUUUCAUUCUCUAAUACUUUUUGGGUUUAACCAUUACUAUGCCAAGGCAAGGCUAAGAAGAAAGGAUUCCAAGAUCUUAGCCAAGCAAGACAGUCAUGCUAAAAAUACAAUAAAUACAAGUGGGGGUACCCAUUCAUCCACCUGAAAGAAGGUAUAGAAAAGAGUAUAGAAAAAUAGGUUAGCUAGACAACUUUAUCAUUAAACAAAUCUUUCAUGGAGACUCAUGCGCCUCACUCUUCCUCAGCAAAUUCCGGAGAAACUGUGUUGCCAUCACAGACAGCUAGCAGUACUAAGGAAUAUCAUAUCGUCAGCGACUAUUGAAAAGUUUGCAUCUCAUUUAAUUCAGUAUGCACCCAGAUGAACCAGAGAGAGCUUUCAAUUAGAUAAGAUUGGUUCAGAAGCAUACUUUCUCCUAUUAGAGCACCAUGUACAUAUCUCACAUUCUAA
RNAcentral lists this unclassified non-coding RNA (460 nucleotides) under Hevea brasiliensis (rubber tree). The record is from RNAcentral. Lineage: Eukaryota; Viridiplantae; Streptophyta; Magnoliopsida; Malpighiales; Euphorbiaceae.